UUUUUUAUUGAGAGUUUGAUCCUGGCUCAGGAUGAACGCUGGCGGCGUGCUUAACACAUGCAAGUCGAACGGACGGAUUGGAGCUUGCUCCAUGAAGUUAGUGGCGGACGGGUGAGUAACGCGUGGGUAACCUGCCCUAUGCAGGGGGAUAACGUUUGGAAACGAACGCUAAUACCGCAUAA
This 182-nucleotide ribosomal RNA is filed under the name Zhenhengia yiwuensis. Its description in RNAcentral is "partial 16S ribosomal RNA". It matches the Rfam family "Bacterial small subunit ribosomal RNA", at positions 1 to 176 of the family's 1533-position model. Lineage: Bacteria; Bacillati; Bacillota; Clostridia; Lachnospirales; Lachnospiraceae. The record is from RNAcentral.